This 826-nucleotide ribosomal RNA is filed under the name uncultured marine bacterium. RNAcentral's name for it is "bacterial SSU rRNA". It matches the Rfam family "Bacterial small subunit ribosomal RNA", at positions 36 to 909 of the family's 1533-position model. The record is from RNAcentral.
CUGGCGGCAGGCCUAACACAUGCAAGUCGAGCGCACCCUUCGGGGCGAGCGGCGGACGGGUUAGUAACGCGUGGGAACGUGCCCUUCUCUACGGAAUAGCCUUUGGAAACGAAGAGUAAUACCGUAUACGCCCUUCGGGGGAAAGAUUUAUCGGAGAAGGAUCGGCCCGCGUUAGAUUAGAUAGUUGGUGGGGUAACGGCCUACCAAGUCUACGAUCUAUAGCUGGUUUUAGAGGAUGAUCAGCAACACUGGGACUGAGACACGGCCCAGACUCCUACGGGAGGCAGCAGUGGGGAAUCUUAGACAAUGGGCGAAAGCCUGAUCUAGCCAUGCCGCGUGAGUGAUGAAGGCCUUAGGGUCGUAAAGCUCUUUCGCCAGGGAUGAUAAUGACAGUACCUGGUAAAGAAACCCCGGCUAACUCCGUGCCAGCAGCCGCGGUAAUACGGAGGGGGUUAGCGUUGUUCGGAAUUACUGGGCGUAAAGCGCGCGUAGGCGGAUCAGAAAGUUGGGGGUGAAAUCCCAGGGCUCAACCCUGGAACUGCCUCCAAAACUCCUGGUCUUGAGUUCGAGAGAGGUGAGUGGAAUUCCGAGUGUAGAGGUGAAAUUCGUAGAUAUUCGGAGGAACACCAGUGGCGAAGGCGGCUCACUGGCUCGAUACUGACGCUGAGGUGCGAAAGUGUGGGGAGCAAACAGGAUUAGAUACCCUGGUAGUCCACACCGUAAACGAUGAAUGCCAGACGUCGGGCAGUAUACUGUUCGGUGUCACACCUAACGGAUUAAGCAUUCCGCCUGGGGAGUACGGUCGCAAGAUUAAAACUCAAAGGAA